ACAUAUUUUCUGCGGAGCAGAGCAGAGCAGAGAGCAGCUUCUGGGACACUCCUGAAACCCCCUGCAGUGCAUCACAAGCACUGUCUAGAAGGGUUAAGUUCAGCUCCAGCGGCCACGUCUCAGACAGAAGGCGACGCAGCCGUGCCCGGUGGAAUCCAGCCGUCACUCAUUCAAUUAAUCUCUAUAUUAGAGAAGCACAGUAGAAAACAAUGAAGGGAGAAAGAGAAGAGAGACAGCGUGGAACAAAGAUUCUGGGAGUGUUGAAAUUACAGCGUCAGCAUCUUCAAUCUCUAGGCUACCAGGACACCCCGUACUUUGUGUUGCGUUAAUAAAGAACUCAUUGAUGAGAGAACCCUAAAGCACAGCAGGUGGCAGUAAUUUAUCAAGUGGACUCCUGACCAGCGGGCUGGUGGAGAGACUCGUCAGCACCAUGGCAGCCGUCACCUUGUCCAUGUCUACUUCCUCCUCCGACCGUCUGUCAAAACACAACAGCAACAAAAGCAAAAAGAGGAUUUUACUGAGUAUCAUCUGCUCCCAUUAUACUGAAUAAUUACACAUUCAAAAAGACACAGUAACCCUUAUGUUAUUUUAAGAUGAGAAACUCAAGGCACUGUAUACUGUGUUUUUCGCAUGCAAAUGUUAACAGGCCACAAUACACACACACCAUACACACAUAGCUGUGUAGAACACAGUCAAUGUUUUCAUUUCCCUCAGCAAGAUGUUUUAAAAAAAGGACAAAAAUCAGGCCUUCUGGUAUUAAAGUCACUCCGCAUUGCAUUCUGCUGCAAUGACUGCAAUAGAAGCUGCUAAUUACAUUUAAGUUUGUUUUCUUGUCCUUUGUGGGUGACUGAUGCAAUCGCCCAGACACCAUUGGAAAAAUCAACAGCCAACAGAUGAAAUGCUACUAUACACAAUCAAAAUAAAAAAAAGAUAAAUGUACAACUAAA
Molecule: long non-coding RNA, 947 nt
Organism: Micropterus dolomieu (smallmouth bass)
Lineage: Eukaryota; Metazoa; Chordata; Actinopteri; Centrarchiformes; Centrarchidae
Exons: 4
Source: RefSeq, a predicted model, not a curated record